UUCGAGGUCUGACACUGUCACUACAGAACAUGAAUGUAUUUAAACGUUGCAAUGAAUAAUGAGAGCAAUCAUUAUAUGGAUGGCGUAAUAACAGGGGAGCAGUAGCGCCUCUGGUGGUCAGAUGCUUAACUGUAUUAGAGGUUGACAGUUUAGAUAUUAUGGUGAAGUAAGGGUGAGUGGCGCGUCUGGGAGUCCCGCUUCUUAACGUGUGGCUCAGUUGUCGACCAGCCGCCGCCUGGCAAGGGUCAUGUUGAUUACUAGUGUGCAAAUAAAUUUGUGUUGCAGAUAUCUUUAUAUAGAAAGGAUUGUUCGGGAAGUGUGACACGUGUGGACAAGUGUUGGAUCAGAGGAGUCAAGGAACGCAAUGUGGAAGUGUUAUUCUGCUACGAGGCCUAUGAUGAAGUAGUUCUCAUGCAGCUACGGGAAUUCACUAACAGGAAAAUUGUUUCUGUAGAGAAAGAAAUGCGUCAGGAUAAAGAAGCAGUUGAUAACGAAGGAAGUAA
Molecule: non-coding RNA, 503 nt
Organism: Procambarus clarkii (red swamp crayfish)
Lineage: Eukaryota; Metazoa; Arthropoda; Malacostraca; Decapoda; Cambaridae
Source: RefSeq, a predicted model, not a curated record